Molecule: long non-coding RNA, 1276 nt
Filed under: Salmo trutta (river trout)
Lineage: Eukaryota; Metazoa; Chordata; Actinopteri; Salmoniformes; Salmonidae
Description: lncRNA (ENSSTUG00000016144.1)
Source: RNAcentral
CCAAGGCGCAGCGUGUAAAGUGCUCAUAUAUUACUUUAAUGAAACACUAAAUCAAAACAACAAAACGACCGUCAACAGUUCCGUCAGGUUACAAGGAACAAAACAGAAAACAACUACCCACAAAACCCAAAGGAAAGACAGGCUGCCUAAGUAUGGUUCCUAAUCAGAGACAAGGAUAGACAGCUGCCUCUGGUUAGGAACCAUACUCGGCCCAACACAAAGAAAUUCAAAACAUAUAAUGCCCACCCCACACCCUGACCUAACCACAUAGAGAAACAAACCCUCUCUCUCAGGUCAGGGCGUAACAGCAUGACUGUGACGAUUACCAGGGAAGGGGCUGCGACAUGAUUGACACAUCCAGCGUCCACCGCCUUCCCUCCUCCAUGCUGCUCAAAGUAGGAUGUUACCAUUAGGGUGCAGUUUCUUUUUGGAGGCCUGAUUAGAUGCUUUCAAAAUCCUUUUAGUCUAAAAACACAAUUGAAAUGGGUUGGAUGUGGGUGGAUGCACAAUCUGUAAAUGUUAUUGUGUGUUCUGUUCCUCUCAGCUGUUCUCCCACUUGUCGGUGAAGGAGCGCUGUCUGUGUGCCUUGCUGGUCUGUAAGUACUGGCGGGGACCUCUGCUUAGACUUCCAGUUCUGGAAGCAAGUCGUUCUCAGUGGCCUACAAUGAGUGAGUAGAAUAUUUGAGAAUUUUUUUUAAGGUAACAUUUAAUUUUCAAGAGAAUGUUUGUAAACCUCUUUUCUUCUUUUUGUAAUGUUCAUGUAUUUUAUAAAAAGUGUAUUAUUUGAAUAUAAGGACCACUUUCUCAUCAAACCUUACCUUGAGCCAUAAUAUCUCUCUCUCUCUCACCCUCAGGUAAAUGAUGACCUCCUGGUGAAGAUAGCAUCUCGGAAGCAGAAUGUGACGGAGUUGACCAUCUCAGACUGUUGUGGCGUGCAGGACCAAGGUGUACGUUCCUUGGCAACCCACUGCUCCAGCCUUCAGAGGUACACUGUAAACAGCUGAGUGACCUGUCUCUCAGCACCCUGGGCUCACACUGCCCUCUGCUGGCCAAGGUCCAUGUGGGCAACCAGGACAAUCUGACGGACGAAGCACUCAAAGUUGGGAGAGCACUGUUCAAAGCUGAAGGAUAUCCACCUGGGCCAGUGCUACAGUAUAACUGAUGAGGGGAUGGUGUCUCUGGCCAAGGGAUGUCCCAAGCUGCAGAGAAUCUACAUGCAGGAGAACAAAAUGGUGAGUUCCCUACCCAGAACUUAGGCGACAUCAGUGUUCAGUUG